UACGUAGGGGGCAAGCGUUGUCCGGAAUUAUUGGGCGUAAAGCGCGUGUAGGCGGUUUCGUAAGUCUGCUGUGAAAGUCGGAGGCUCAACCUCCGAAAGCCGGUGGAUACUGUGGAACUAGAGUGCGGAAGAGGCAAGUGGAAUUCCUGGUGUAGCGGUGAAAUGCGCAGAUAUCAGGAGGAACACCAACGGCGAAGGCAGCUUGCUGGGACGUUACUGACGCUGAGACGCGAAAGCGUGGGGAGCAAACAGG
This 253-nucleotide ribosomal RNA is filed under the name uncultured bacterium. RNAcentral's name for it is "partial 16S ribosomal RNA". It matches the Rfam family "Bacterial small subunit ribosomal RNA", at positions 524 to 776 of the family's 1533-position model. The record is from RNAcentral.